UAUGCACGUGUACGUACGUAUAUGCCCUCUACGUAUGUAUACAGCCUGUAUAUGUAUAUGUGUACGUACGUAUAUUUAUGCCGGACGCUCCGACGCCAUCCUGUGUUUGCGUGCGUCCUCUCCUUGCGUCACCCUCGACCUACCAGCGUAAACAACCUUGGGCCCGGGAGCGUCCUGUCUAAACACGUGUAUUCAUUGGGCUUCUCCCUUGGGCAUGGCGUCUUGAAGGGGGCUUCUUCAUCUCCUUUCUCCGCGGCUGACCCCGCGAAGGUUAAAUCCCGCCGCCAUUUAACGGACACAAACACAUGCCACCCGAACCGUCUGACCUUAUCGCCUAGAGGUCACUUAUCUGAGCUCGACCCCGCCCGCGAGGCACAAGAUAGGCACUUCCGGUUUGAUAGUCGGUGAAAAUAGUCAGCUCUCAAGGUCAUCCGAGCUUCUGAAAGUCAUCCUCGUGGGCGGUAAAUUGAUGACUGGCAGACUAGAAGUAGCAACUUUGCCUGCAAGCGGAGAUAGGCAAGGCGAGACAGGCAGACGAGAGUGUUAUAAUGCUUUACAUAUGCUUGUGUGUCUGCUCGCUUUUGCUUAUUUUUAGAAUUGGCCCUGUAGGUUUGUGUGUGUGCGAUGAUACAAAUAGAUAUAAAUAGAUAAAUAAGGAAGUAGAAAAAAUAAAGAAAUAGAUAAAUGAAUAAAUGGGUAAAUAGAUAUAACGAAAUGAAUGAAUAUAUAAAUAAAUAGAGAAGAUAUAUGUAUAUGUGAGUGUUUCAAUGCAUAUAUUAGCACGUCUUUUUAGGCUCUAUAUCAGAGCUGCUGAACACGUGUAAUGCGGAGCCAAAAGUGCAUUCUUCGAGGCUAGAAUUAGCGUGUGGUUCUGACCCAGAGUUGUUUCUCCCCCCCCCCCCCCUUGUCAAGACCUCGAGGUAAAAAUGGCCUGCAAGGUUGAUAACCAUAUGUUUGAUUGUGAAAGACCCCAUUGACUUACCCCUUUGACAAUAUUCGUAAAUUUACGAGCUGAAAAAUAUUCCCAAAUCAUACAUUUCUACAGUAAACAGUUUACACAGAAUACAUUUAUUGCACAGGUCACUCGAAUAACUAUUCCCUAUUAACAGUGUUACUACAAUGGCAACGAAUGCGAAGCAGACUGAACACUUAAAAUCUCCAAGUCAUCCGAUUACUCUGAUACAUCUGUUAAUUAUUACAAUCUUAGAAUUUGCUUCCACAAGACAAAGAAAGUCUACAAAAUAUUGAAAAAAACAUUGAUUCUCAAGACCUCUUUUCCGUUGCCAAAAGUCGAAAAAUAUGAUAAACAAGUAUCACUGUUUCCACUGGCCUAGCACAUACUAAUUUUGCAGCUCGCCGUUUCAAGACAAAUGAAAUGGUGUAGACAAUACAAGUGGAAGUACAUCAAGAGACAUAAAAAACAUUAGAAAAGAAGACAAAUUUAAAACCAAGAAAAACAAAGAGAAAAGAAAAACGAGGGAGACAGAAGGACAGGAAGGAUAUGGGGCAGGAGGAAAACGAAAUGGAAAACACACACUCAGGAAGGAAGGAGGGUAGCUAAAGCAGGAAACAAAGGAGUAGAAGAGCAGAAAGGAAACCAGACACAAGAGGAAACUUGAGAAGGAAACAAAUGGACAGGAAGGAAAUGAGAGACAAACACAUUAAGAAAAUGAAGAAAACAAUUGAAACGGACGCUAACGAGAGAAACAGAAGAACAUAGUAAAUCGACAGAUGAGAAAAUGAGAGAGAAUAUCGAAGAAAAAGUCAGAAAAAACAACAACAUAAAAGUGCGCAAAAUUUCAGCCAUUUAACCUCCCGUCUAAAAGGCAACAGAAAACGGAAGAAGACCGCCAGGAAGUCAUCAGUAGCGCCGUCAACAACUUCCCGGGGUUAAAGUACGUAUGUGCAGGAUGACCUUGGUAUUAUACUGUCCCUGGCCCUGAGUGACCCUCUAGAUUUGCACAGUGAAAAGGAAGGGGCGCCAUACACUUAACAAGUUGUAAAAGGCUUCACUCUAUUGACAUGAGGUUAUAUAUGCCUAACCCAUGGGAAAUACAGUUUAUUUUAUUAUUACUUCAUAUUGAGAAUUAUGCCCCUCCGCAUCAUACGUAACUGACAUUAUUCAAACUGUUUUUGUAAAGAAAUUCCCAUAAAAUCGUGUACUAUACGAAGGGAUAUAAGUAAAGCAUGAUACCCUAUAAAUUGUCUCAAAAAAAAAAAAAAAAAAAAAAAAAAAAAAAAAAAAAAAAAAACAA
Non-coding RNA from Penaeus vannamei (Pacific white shrimp), 2255 nucleotides. The record is from RefSeq and is a predicted model, not a curated record. NCBI's taxonomy places the organism in Eukaryota, Metazoa, Arthropoda, Malacostraca, Decapoda, Penaeidae.